This 457-nucleotide ribosomal RNA is filed under the name uncultured bacterium. RNAcentral's name for it is "partial 16S ribosomal RNA". It matches the Rfam family "Bacterial small subunit ribosomal RNA", at positions 338 to 795 of the family's 1533-position model. The record is from RNAcentral.
CCUACGGGUGGCAGCAGUGAGGAAUAUUGGUCAAUGGCCGGAAGGCUGAACCAGCCAUGCCGCGUGAAGGUCAGUGCCCUAUGGGUUGUAAACCUCUUUUGUCGGAGAACAAAACCCGGGACGUGUCCCGGACUGCGUGUAUCCGAAGAAAAAGCAUCGGCUAACUCCGUGCCAGCGGCCGCGGUAAUCCGGAGGAUGCGAGCGUUAUCCGGAGUUAUUGGUUUUAAGGGUGCGUAGGCGGUCCGUUAAGUCAGCGGUAAAAUUGCGGGGCUCAACCCCGUCGAGCCGUUGAAACUGGCAGACUUGAGUUGGCGAGAAGUACGCGGAAUGCGGGGUGUAGCGGUGAAAUGCAUAGAUAUCGCGCAGAACUCCGAUUGCGAAGGCAGCGUACCGGCGCCAGACUGACGCUGAGGCACGAAAGCGUGGGGAUCGAACAGGAUUAGAUACCCGUGUAGUC